Molecule: non-coding RNA, 498 nt
Filed under: Trichobilharzia regenti
Lineage: Eukaryota; Metazoa; Platyhelminthes; Trematoda; Strigeidida; Schistosomatidae
Description: Eukaryotic small subunit ribosomal RNA
Rfam family: Eukaryotic small subunit ribosomal RNA
Source: Rfam by way of RNAcentral
CUGGUUGAUCCUACCAGUAGUCAUAUGCUUGUCUCAGAGAUUAAGCCAUGCAUAUCUAAGUACAAACCUUAAAACGGUGAAACAUCGAAUGGCUGAUCAAAUCAGCUAUGGUUCCUUAGAUCAUAUAUACUACAUGGAUAACUGUAGUAAUUCUGUAGCUAAUACAUGCAAUUAUGUCUUGACCGGCAAGGGAACGGGUGCAUUUAUUAGAAGAGAACCAACCGGGAGCAGUUUCGGCUGUCUCUAUUGAAUUCUGUGAUGACUCUGGAUAACUUUAAUGAUUGCAGUCGGCCUUGUGUUGGCGGCGGAUCUUUCAAAUGUCUGCCCUAUCAAUUUGUUAGUAGGUGAUUUGCCUACCAUGAUAAUAACGAGGAAUCAGGGAGCCUGAGAAAUGGCUACCACAUCUAAGGGCGGCAACAGGGGCGAAAAUUCCUUUAGGCCAACACCAGGUGGGAAAUUAGUUGUGUCAGAAACCUUUAAAAAAUGUCAGCUUUAAUG